CGUCUAUAUACGUAUAGCAUAUCAAUAAGCGGAGGAAAAGAAACUAACUAGGAUUCCCUUAGUAACGGCGAGUGAAGCGGGAAGAGCUCAAAUUUGAAAUCUCCAAGGUUCUACCUUGACGAAUUGUAGUUUAAAGAAGUGUUUUCUGUUGGAGUUUUGGUAAAAGUUCUUUGGAAUAGGACAUCAUAGAGGGUGAGAAUCCCGUAUUUGACCAUUACUUUCCAGCGUUGUGAUACACUUUCAAAGAGUCGGAUUGUUUGGGAAUGCAGUCCAAAAUGGGUGGUAAAUUUCAUCUAAAGCUAAAUACUGGCGAGAGACCGAUAGCGAACAAGUACCGUGAGGGAAAGAUGAAAAGAACUUUGAAAAGAGAGUUAAACAGUACGUGAAAUUGUCAAAAGGGAAGCGUUUGACACCAGUGUUGUUUUCUCGAAAAUCAAUUAAAAGUGGUGGGAUUUUGUGUUGUAUUGACUUUAUCAGCUUUCUGCACUUUUUUCCUGUCUUUUUUAAUGCACUUUUCGUUUAACAAGUCAACGUCAAUUUCUUUUGUUGUAAAAAGGUCAUUGGAAGGUGGCUUUCUUUUCGGAGAAAGUGUUUAUAGCCUUUGACUCCUGCAAUCGGAGAGACUGAGGUCUGCAGCGUAGAUCCUUUUGGAUUAGAUUCAUUUGUGCUAAGUUAUAGCUUUUUAUAGACAACAUGUUGACUAUAUUUAGUCUUGUAACUUACUCGCUUAUGUAAUUUUACCUACGCUUAGGAUGUUGACGAUCAGCUGAGCGCG
RNAcentral lists this ribosomal RNA (775 nucleotides) under uncultured Neocallimastigales. Its description in RNAcentral is "partial large subunit ribosomal RNA". It matches the Rfam family "Eukaryotic large subunit ribosomal RNA", at positions 26 to 628 of the family's 3401-position model. Lineage: Eukaryota; Fungi; Neocallimastigomycota; Neocallimastigomycetes; Neocallimastigales. The record is from RNAcentral.